RNAcentral lists this ribosomal RNA (646 nucleotides) under Lactiplantibacillus plantarum. RNAcentral's name for it is "bacterial SSU rRNA". It matches the Rfam family "Bacterial small subunit ribosomal RNA", at positions 70 to 682 of the family's 1533-position model. Lineage: Bacteria; Bacillati; Bacillota; Bacilli; Lactobacillales; Lactobacillaceae. The record is from RNAcentral.
CUCUGGUAUUGAUUGGUGCUUGCAUCAUGAUUUACAUUUGAGUGAGUGGCGAACUGGUGAGUAACACGUGGGAAACCUGCCCAGAAGCGGGGGAUAACACCUGGAAACAGAUGCUAAUACCGCAUAACAACUUGGACCGCAUGGUCCGAGCUUGAAAGAUGGCUUCGGCUAUCACUUUUGGAUGGUCCCGCGGCGUAUUAGCUAGAUGGUGGGGUAACGGCUCACCAUGGCAAUGAUACGUAGCCGACCUGAGAGGGUAAUCGGCCACAUUGGGACUGAGACACGGCCCAAACUCCUACGGGAGGCAGCAGUAGGGAAUCUUCCACAAUGGACGAAAGUCUGAUGGAGCAACGCCGCGUGAGUGAAGAAGGGUUUCGGCUCGUAAAACUCUGUUGUUAAAGAAGAACAUAUCUGAGAGUAACUGUUCAGGUAUUGACGGUAUUUAACCAGAAAGCCACGGCUAACUACGUGCCAGCAGCCGCGGUAAUACGUAGGUGGCAAGCGUUGUCCGGAUUUAUUGGGCGUAAAGCGAGCGCAGGCGGUUUUUUAAGUCUGAUGUGAAAGCCUUCGGCUCAACCGAAGAAGUGCAUCGGAAACUGGGAAACUUGAGUGCAGAAGAGGACAGUGGAACUCCAUGUGUAGCGGU